AAACCGUUGAAAGGGAAGCGAAUGGAGUUAGCAAUUCGCCCUGCCAGAUUCAGCUGCUCGUGCUUCGCGACGUGCGCGCUCUCGAUCCGCAUGGACGAGACGUGUGUGGGUGCGAUGUGCAAACGGCGCACUUCUGGCGAGCGAGCGUCAGCGUCGGUUGUCGACGGGGGACAAGGACACAGGGAAGGUGGAUCAGCCAACUUGGCCGAUUGUUAAGCCUUGUGAUCACAUAGCCCGACGGCGACCGUGGCUCUGCGACGCGUGCCUGGCUGGCGACUCGAACGGAUCGGUCCGGCAUGUCGACUGGGCGGACGAGACUUCUCUGUGCGCUCAAACUGCUGCCGGUCGAACGGACGAUGUUCGCACACUACGCGUCGAGGAUGCUGACGACCAUACGGCUCCAUCCGACCCGUCUUGAAACACGGACCAAGGAGUCUAACAUGUGCGCGAGUCUCCGGGUGAUCGAAACCCGUGGGCGCAAUGAAAGUAAAGAUCGUCCUAGACGAUUGAGGUGAGAAGCAAAUCCACGGAUUUGCAGCAUCAUCGACCGACCUAUUCUGCUCUCAGAAAGGUUUGAGUAAGAGCGUACCUGUUGGGACCCGAAAGAUGGUGAACUAUGCCUGAAUAGGGUGAAGCCAGCGG
RNAcentral lists this ribosomal RNA (642 nucleotides) under Stenogorgia casta. RNAcentral's name for it is "Swiftia casta partial 28S ribosomal RNA". It matches the Rfam family "Eukaryotic large subunit ribosomal RNA", at positions 402 to 858 of the family's 3401-position model. The record is from RNAcentral. Lineage: Eukaryota; Metazoa; Cnidaria; Anthozoa; Malacalcyonacea; Pterogorgiidae.